RNAcentral lists this transfer RNA (63 nucleotides) under Calyptogena pacifica. RNAcentral describes it as "tRNA-Cys". The record is from RNAcentral. RNAcentral also lists the same sequence under 1 other name. Lineage: Eukaryota; Metazoa; Mollusca; Bivalvia; Venerida; Vesicomyidae.
AGCCUUGUAUCUUAUUAAAGUUUUGAGUUGCAAACUCGAAUAAGGAUGAAUUUCCCUGGGCUU